Molecule: ribozyme, 73 nt
Filed under: unclassified sequences
Description: HDV ribozyme from F. prausnitzii
Rfam family: HDV ribozyme from F. prausnitzii
Source: RNAcentral
GCUGCUCUGAUAAUCACACACCUCUACGCGGUGGGCAGUAGGCAACGAUCUAAGGAUUGGCUGAGAUGUGAAA